ACGGCCGGUAACUAAAAAUACAUGUAAAUUUAAAUAAGUUUGUUUGAAAAAUAAGAGAAAAUCCUUUAACAUUACAGCAAACGUCCUGUAACAAAAAGGAGCAAGACAUUUACCGUAGAUUUACAGGUCGUGACAAAAUUACGUGUCCUAAAUUAUAAACAUGUCCAAUAAUUUUCAUUUCCACAUCAGAAAAUUCAAUCCGCCUGGCACCCAUUUCAGUAUCAAAAGAGAGACGUCAAAAGCACGCGGUGCAUGAUAUUUUGUUUACGUUUUUGUGUUUCGGUUCUGUUUCUUUGUUGUGCUCCGUUCUGCCAUUCAUAUCAUGUCGAAAUCGGGAAGGACAUGGCUCGAUAUAAGACCAAACAAUCACAGAUCCAGAGAGGCUCAGGAUUGCACCAGGUUCCGUUUCAAGGGCUACACGCUAGGACUAGUACACUUUGUAAAAGGCAGUGUUGUUCCGUUGCGGGCGAAAGCACUAAGUGGUACCUAUUGGAAAAUCCUUCGCCUCUGCCCGAGUCCCCACCAGGAGCUGUUAUGUCAUUCAAACUUCUAAUCGAUACGAUUGUUCAAAUGGACACAAUCAGUUCACGAUUAUACAAGUUUGCUUCUCUUCAGUUUCAAGUGAUCCGGAAAGGAGUAAACAAUCGGAGUGCAGAAAAGUUUUAUGAAAAACUGGAUAGUUAAAACAAAUCCAAUGGAUGGAACGGUCGAAAAUUGUCCAAAGCUGCUCCGGGACCAACCAAAAUUUUCAACAAUCAGCCUGCAUGCUCAAAAGAAGAUGAUGUUUCGUGCUUCAUAUGCAAGGGUCGAAAAAACAUCUAAAUACGGUCGAAAAAUGAAGUUGAAUUUUAAUUAUGUCUUCAGCCAGCCGUGAUGCUAUUUUCGGCUAAAUUAUAAAGUGUUUUGGUAAGGAGGCUGGAAUUAAUAAGUGCUUGCCGUGCCGUGACUCUAAUAUGUGGAUGGUUAUCGAUAUUUCGAAAGAAUCGACAUUUGGUUCAGGCACUUGAACAUAUAUAUCUGAGAUCGGAAAAAGUUCAAUUCUACCCAAAGGUCGAACGAUGAAAAGGCCCCAGACAUAAAAUCAUUCGAAAAGACGUUGGAAUUUUGCGUUGGAAAGAAACCUUUGAAAAUCGUAAAUUCUCUCGGAAUGAAAAAGUUUGUCCACCGUUACUGGGAUUGGAACUGUACUUCCUGCUUCACAACCGUAAAGGAUCAAUCACUGUGACUAAUGCUACAAAUUAGAAUCCAGCUAGGUGCGAAAGAUAGUUGUAUACAAGAAAAUUCAAGAACUAAACUUGAACUUCGAUUGCAUUAGGCGCAGUUGCCCAACGUGUGAUGAAAGAACGUUUUUUCACCUUCAAAAUCCAUGGAAUCGACUGGUUUAGGAGAAAAUUUGUUGUAACUUAAGGUUCCUUGGCUUUGAGCGAAUUUGAUUGUUCCCAUUGUUUUUUUUUAUUCGGCAUACGUCGUUAAAUUUUGCUAGUACUAUGAUAAAUGACGUAUUUAAUUAAAAUGGUUAAUACUUGAAAGCAUCCCUCGAUUGUUGUCCACAAUAUGAAAGACCUGCCAUUCAUUGCAGCAGCUUUAAUAAUGCAACCAAUCUGGAAAAUGCUGUUUGUAGCUCUGUAAACAUUCGGUAGUGAUUUGAAUAAAUGCAACGAUGAUGUUAGUAAUAAAAAAAAUUAUUGAUA
This is a long non-coding RNA of Uranotaenia lowii, 1691 nucleotides long. RefSeq lists it as uncharacterized. The record is from RefSeq and is a predicted model, not a curated record. The transcript has 4 exons. NCBI's taxonomy places the organism in Eukaryota, Metazoa, Arthropoda, Insecta, Diptera, Culicidae.